Molecule: long non-coding RNA, 656 nt
Organism: Oncorhynchus keta (chum salmon)
Lineage: Eukaryota; Metazoa; Chordata; Actinopteri; Salmoniformes; Salmonidae
Exons: 4
Source: RefSeq, a predicted model, not a curated record
AAGCACUGUAAUGUAACCAUAUUUGACUUGGCCAAUUGGAAAUCUAGGACCACAUGACAAAAGGAUAACAGGAACACUACAUCAAGACUCCCAAUUUACAGUCUUCCUGCUUUAGAAAUAAGAUUAGUUUAAUUCUUUGUUUGGGCUAAUUAUAUUAAGUCUAACAUUUCAAUCAAAUGUAACAUAAAUAUGAAUCCUCUUGAACUCCUCUGCAGGGUUUACCUGUCUGUCGCAACUAAGCCAGUCACCUCACAAGCUGGCUUCCUAUCCUUCUGGUCUGUGUGAAUACUGAAACAUGUUCACAGAGGAGUCUCAUUCAGAGAGAGUUUGGCAGUAACCCAGAACUAACAGAGGCAGAGGAUCUCUCUUUUGGCUGCUGCUGACAACAACUGCAUUCAGGCAACAACCCAUACUGUACUGACGGUAGAUAGCCCAGUGGCUAAGGAGUGGGACCAGUGGCAGGAGUUUUACCUGUGGACGAAAGGUGGCCAGUUGGAAAAAAAUGAACAAAAUGUAUCUGAUAACUAUAGGGCUGAUGGUUUCACAUCCUCAAAAACAUUCCCCCGACCGUUGGACCCUUGAGCAAGGCCCUUAACCCCACAACAUGCUCUCCAUCCAGGUGCGCUGGAUGGAGAGCCUGCGACCGUCUCAACUGU